UGGAUAAAAGUAGUUUUUUAGGACAUACCAUGAUAGCAGAAGUGGGUGGGUAGUUCUUAUAUAAGGUUAUAUACCUUUUGUAUCAGGGCUAAACUAUAAGACUCUUUGUUAAGAUUGCCCGAGACAGGAAGAUCUAAGUUUUCCGGCUUAUUGGAGUGUGAAUCCCUGUGUAGCACAAUAGGAGUCACAGGAAAACUUAGGGGCGAAAAACCUUCAAUUCCUGAGAUAUCUGGAUCUUAGGUAAACGUAUUUAGUACGGUAGACAGGCUAAAAGUGUUGAGAUUUUUAGUGGGGAGAGACUUUAUAAAGGAACGGUAUGGAUGGGCUAAUUCCCCAUUGUUGUUUGGUAAAAUAUUAUGAGGUUUUCUUUGUUCCUCUAUUAAACCUAUCUACACUUCGAAAUGCGGCGAAGUUUAUAUAAUGUUUAGAUGAGUAUUACACUCAAACUCCCAGAAGGAACUCGGCAAAUUUGCGCCCUCAGCUGUUUAUCAAAAACAUAGCCUUGUGGAACAUUCAAGGCAAGCCCUGCCCGGUGAUAUAUUUAAACGGCCGCAGUACCCUGACUGUGCUAAGGUAGCGUAAUCAGUUGUCUUUUAAUUGGGGACUUGUAUGAAUGGGCCCAUGGGGGCCUACUGUCUCCUGGGUGCUUUUCAGAAAUUGACAGAAGGGUGAAAACUCCCUUAAAAAGAUAAAAGACGAGAAGACCCUAAGAACCUCAGAUACUACGACCACUCGUCGCAAGCUUUUGUUGGGGCGACAACGGAGCACAAAGCCUACAAACCUCCGGCACUACUGGCUAACCCGCCGACACUGGUAUGAGAGAUUAGGUUACCUUAGGGAUAACAGCAUAAUUAUUAAUAGUUUGUGACCUCGAUGUUGGAUCUAGGGAUAACAGCAUAAUUAUUAAUAGUUUGUGACCUCGAUGUUGGACUAGGGACCUUUAGGAUUAGAAGUCCAAGAGGCAAGUUCUGUUCGAACUACACCAAUCCCUACAUGAUCUGAGUUCAGACCGGCGCAAGCCAGGUCAGUUUCUAUCUUUUACUUAGUUUGCACCAGUACGAAAGGACCGCGCUUACGGAAACUAUUCUA
RNAcentral lists this ribosomal RNA (1089 nucleotides) under Myosotella myosotis (mouse ear snail). Its description in RNAcentral is "large subunit ribosomal RNA". It matches the Rfam family "Bacterial large subunit ribosomal RNA", at positions 564 to 2714 of the family's 2925-position model. The record is from RNAcentral. Lineage: Eukaryota; Metazoa; Mollusca; Gastropoda; Ellobiida; Ellobiidae.